Molecule: ribosomal RNA, 397 nt
Filed under: uncultured bacterium
Lineage: Bacteria
Description: partial 16S ribosomal RNA
Rfam family: Bacterial small subunit ribosomal RNA
Source: RNAcentral
AUACGUAGGGGGCGAGCGUUGUCCGGAAUGAUUGGGCGUAAAGGGCGCGUAGGCGGCGCGGUAAGUCUGGAGUGAAAGUCCUGCUUUCAAGGUGGGAAUUGCUUUGGAUACUGCCGCGCUUGAGUGCAGGAGAGGUUAUCGGAAUUCCCGGUGUAGCGGUGAAAUGCGUAGAGAUCGGGGGGAACACCAGUGGCGAAGGCGGGUAACUGGACUGCAACUGACGCUGAGGCGCGAAAGUGUGGGGAGCAAACAGGAUUAGAUACCCUGGUAGUCCACACUGUAAACGAUGAAUGCUAGGUGUAAGAGGUAUCGACCCCUUUUGUGCCGGAGUCAACACAAUAAGCAUUCCGCCUGGGGAGUACGGCCGCAAGGUUGAAACUCAAAUGAAUUGACGGGG